UACGUAGGGUGCAAGCGUUAAUCGGAAUUACUGGGCGUAAAGCGUGCGCAGGCGGUUAUUUAAGUCAGAUGUGAAAGCCCCGGGCUUAACCUGGGAAUUGCGUUUGAAACUAGAUGACUAGAGUCUGUCAGAGGGGGGUGGAAUUCCACGUGUAGCAGUGAAAUGCGUAGAGAUGUGGAGGAACACCGAUGGCGAAGGCAACCCCCUGGGAUAAGACUGACGCUCAUGCACGAAAGCGUGGGGAGCAAACAGG
Molecule: ribosomal RNA, 253 nt
Filed under: uncultured bacterium
Lineage: Bacteria
Description: partial 16S ribosomal RNA
Rfam family: Bacterial small subunit ribosomal RNA
Source: RNAcentral